UUUGAGCCAUAUAAAUCUAUUACCUA
This 26-nucleotide non-coding RNA is filed under the name Homo sapiens (human). Lineage: Eukaryota; Metazoa; Chordata; Mammalia; Primates; Hominidae. The record is from RNAcentral.